Molecule: ribosomal RNA, 483 nt
Filed under: uncultured bacterium
Lineage: Bacteria
Description: bacterial SSU rRNA
Rfam family: Bacterial small subunit ribosomal RNA
Source: RNAcentral
AUUGAACGCUGGCGGCAUGCCUUACACAUGCAAGUCGAACGGUAACAGGUCUUCGGAUGCUGACGAGUGGCGAACGGGUGAGUAAUAUAUCGGAACGUGCCCAGUCGUGGGGGAUAACGCAGCGAAAGCUGUGCUAAUACCGCAUACGAUCUAUGGAUGAAAGCGGGGGAUCGCAAGACCUCGCGCGAUUGGAGCGGCCGAUAUCAGAUUAGGUAGUUGGUGGGGUAAAGGCCCACCAAGCCAACGAUCUGUAGCUGGUCUGAGAGGACGACCAGCCACACUGGAACUGAGACACGGUCCAGACUCCUACGGGAGGCAGCAGUGGGGAAUUUUGGACAAUGGGCGCAAGCCUGAUCCAGCAAUGCCGCGUGCAGGAUGAAGGCCUUCGGUUGUAACUGCUUUGUACGGUAACGAAAGGACUACUGGUUAUACCUCGUGCUUGAUGGUACUGGAAGAAUAAGACACCGGCUAACUACGUGCACG